Molecule: ribosomal RNA, 279 nt
Filed under: uncultured bacterium
Lineage: Bacteria
Description: partial 16S ribosomal RNA
Rfam family: Bacterial small subunit ribosomal RNA
Source: RNAcentral
CUUUCUCCGCCGGCGACCGGCGCGACGGGUGAGUAACACGUAUGCAACCUCGCCCCUGUCGAGGGGGACAACCCGCCGAAGGGCGGGCUAAACCCGCGUACAUGCCACCGGGGCAUCCCGGAGGCAGGAAAGGCUUCGGCCGGACAGGGAUGGGCAUGCGGCGCAUUAGGCAGUAGGCGGGGUAACGGCCCACCUAACCGACGAUGCGUAGGGGUUCUGAGAGGAAGGUCCCCCACACUGGUACUGAGACACGGACCAGACUCCUACGGAAGGCAGCAG